This is a long non-coding RNA of Sinocyclocheilus rhinocerous, 127 nucleotides long. RefSeq lists it as uncharacterized. The record is from RefSeq and is a predicted model, not a curated record. Lineage: Eukaryota; Metazoa; Chordata; Actinopteri; Cypriniformes; Cyprinidae. The transcript has 2 exons.
UCAGUUUGUUGAAAGCGAUGCUGACGAGGAGCUUCUGUUCAAUAUACCGUUUACAGGUAGCGUGAAGCUGAAAGGGAUCAUUAUUUCUGGUGAAGAUGAUGAGUCACACCCAGCUGAAAUAAGACUG